Non-coding RNA from Trichobilharzia regenti, 46 nucleotides. Lineage: Eukaryota; Metazoa; Platyhelminthes; Trematoda; Strigeidida; Schistosomatidae. The record is from Rfam.
AUCUAGACUGACGAGUCCCAAAUAGGACGAAAUGCGCAUCCUGGAU